AAUAUUUGUAUCCAACCUCAGAUUGAUACAUGGGGGUUCUAGUAGUGUUGAUUACAUCUUAUACUUGAAGUUAGUAGGUUUAUUGGUGUAAGGUUAUAUAUUCAGAUUGUUAGUCACUUAUUUAUCUUAUCUAGUCAUGAACACGAGUAUGAUUUUGUGAGUAUUUCUAUAUGUUCUUGAGGACAUGGGAGAAAUCUUGUCAUAAGUAAUCAUGUGAAGUUGAUUUUCGUUUAUUUUUUGAUGAUAUGUUGUGUUGUUCUUCCUCUAAUGGUGUCAUGUACUCAUGUGAAUGUCGACUACAUGACACAUCAUCAUGUUUUGUCCUAGGGAAAGGCAUUGUGAAAUUAGUUUGUAGAUGAUGGGUUGCGGGAAUGAUUGAAACCUAAAUCUCAGUUUAUGAAUUAUUCCGUAAGGGGCUAUUUUGGAUUCAUAUGUUUAAUAUUAUGGCUAGAU
This 453-nucleotide long non-coding RNA is filed under the name Hordeum vulgare. Its description in RNAcentral is "long non-coding RNA (HVUL_LNC003579)". The record is from RNAcentral. Lineage: Eukaryota; Viridiplantae; Streptophyta; Magnoliopsida; Poales; Poaceae.